RNAcentral lists this ribosomal RNA (315 nucleotides) under uncultured fungus. RNAcentral's name for it is "eukaryotic LSU rRNA". Lineage: Eukaryota; Fungi. The record is from RNAcentral.
AACGCACCUUGCGCUCCUGGGCUAUUCCUAGGAGCAUGCCUGUUUGAGUGUCGUGAAAUCAUCAACCCCAGUUGGAUUUGAAAUUUGACUGGUGGCUUGGACUUGGGGGUUUGCUGGCCGUUUUGAUUCGGUCUGGCUCCCCUUGAAUGUAUUAGCUUGGACUUGUUCCUAAGGCUUCAUGGCGUGAUAAGAUCACCCGUCGAGCAGUCCUUGGUCAACGUUGGGUUCCGCUUCCAACCGUCCCCCGCGGACAACACCGAAACCUGGUUUUCGACAUCUGACCUCAAAUCGGGUAGGACUACCCGCUGAACUUAA